Molecule: long non-coding RNA, 285 nt
Filed under: Nicotiana benthamiana
Lineage: Eukaryota; Viridiplantae; Streptophyta; Magnoliopsida; Solanales; Solanaceae
Description: long non-coding RNA (NBEN_LNC035381)
Source: RNAcentral
UUUUUUUUGGAGGGGAAGUGUGUUAUACUUGGCCGGGCUAGCUUGCACACACCUCAACUGAUCCAGGGGAUAGUCUGUCCACCCCACCACAAGAACAGUUAGCCAAGGUAAUCCCAUCCACCAAGGCUUGAAUAGAAGGGCACAACAGCAAAUCAGGGUACUUUUUGUCGCAAUUAGCAUCUUACAAGUAGAUAGUCUCUCAUAAUCUCAAGAGUUUUAGGGAAAUCACUUCUUCCCAUGUCCCAAAAUAAAUUUACAUGUCCAGUCAAGAAUUAAAAGUUCUUU